UGUAUGUUAUGUUUUGUUGUUGUUGUUGUUUUCUGCAAAAUAUCUGCUAAGAAGCCUUAAAAAUGUGGGGAACUAACACUUGGCACUUUGUCAACAGAGAGGAGCAGUGAACACACUUCAGAGGAUUCCAGAUGUGUGCCCUGAAGGAGAGCACAUUUUCCCUCUGCUGGAGGGUGGAAGCAGCUGUGUGCAUAAGCUAUAAGGAGGACUUGUGGAGAAAUGCAAGUACAGUAGCCGGGCGAUGCUGGCUGAGGGCGAAGGCAUGGCCGGUCCCUCGCUGUGUGCUGCCGCCUCGGCGGCCUCUCCGGACCGGCACAAGGUGCCCGCCUUUGGGGAGAGUAAAACCUCACACUGCUCCUUUUCCAUCGAGAGUAUAUUGGGACUGGAGCAGAAAAAAGAUGGCAUUCCAGCUGGGAAACCUCACAGACCCUGGAUGGAUGCGUGCACCAGCUUGGUUUUAGGUGAUGACAGUAAUCCCCACCUGCAAAUCCCUGUUGUUUGCUAUGAAAAUCCAUUAUUUCAUGCUAGAAGUGAUCCAGUGCAGGAGGAAAACGUUUUGAAAUGUGAAAAAUAUUUUUCAGUCACUGAAAGGCUGUCUUUCAAACGAGAAUUGAGCUGGUAUAGGGGUAGAAGACCAAGAACUGCAUUCACUAGAAACCAGAUUGAAGUCUUGGAAAAUGUUUUUAAAAUGAACUCCUACCCUGGCAUUGAUAUUAGAGAAGAGUUAGCUCGCAAAUUAGAUUUAGAUGAAGACAGGAUCCAGAUCUGGUUUCAGAACCGUCGUGCAAAGCUGAAAAGAUCCCACAGAGAAUCUCAGUUUCUAAUGGUGAAAAAUACUUUCACCUCCAGCCUGCUGGAGUAGAAGGAAGGAUGGCUUGCUGUUACAGUACUGCUACAGAAAAUGAAGAAUUAUUCAAAACCUGUAUUAAAGCUCUAAGCACUUGCCUCAUGUGCUGGUGACCUUCAGGGAGACUCCAGCCUGUGUUUCCUGCUCGACAUAAGUUCUGCAUUAUCUCAUGAACAGAGAGUAUUGCUCUUCCUUUCUUCAUGCUUGUAUCCAUAGCUGUUGUCCAAUAGGAUGAAAGGUAAGUUGAUAAAAUAGGGUGAUAGAAAAAAUCAUUUUAUGUAGUCUCAUACUAGGAAAAGCUAAAGGGAGGGAUGAUCUGACAGUCCUUACUUAGUAUUUUGAACUAUAGUUUGAGCUAGAAGAGAUUAAAUAGAAAACAUUUCUUUAGUUUCUGAAGAAUAUCACUGAAAAACUGCAUUACUUUAGAACUGGGUGACAGAUAUUGGCCCUUCCAUGAUUUUAUCUUCAUUAGUUCAUUGCCUUCACUUCUAUGCAGAAUCCUAAGAAUCUUUAAUUGUUUGGCUUUGCUCCUGGAAAUCUUAAUACGGAAAUAACAAACUUUUAUCUGAUAUUGAAACAUUAUUUUUUGUGCUUUAUUGGAUUUGGGAAAUAACAUUCCUAACUGAAUUCUGUUGUAUCCUGCAUUCCAAAAUACUUAAGAGAACCACUAGUAAAGCAAUUUAAAUUGAGACAGAUCCUUUAGGAAUAGUUCUUAGAGAAGCUGAAAUCUCAAUUCAGCUACCUGCCUGAUCUGGUAAAGGCAAAGACACUAUUAGGAAUGCAUUCUUUUAUUUUGUUUUUCUUCACACCUCAAAACGUAUAUUGCCCAUAGCUUAACCUUAUUGCAGGUAAUCUGAAACUAUUGUCUGCUUUGCUUCUGGAAACAAAGUUUCCAGCAGCAACAGAUUAGACUAAUCUGUACAGAUUGAUUGCUUAAGAACCUUACUCUAUUAUCUGGCAAAUACCUAAAUACACCUAAAGUCUGCUCUAAUGGAACUUGUCUCAAGUGACGGAAGUCUGACAAAGCAAUUUAAGAGAAGCAGUAGAAUAGUAGCAGAAUAAUAAUAGCACCAGCCCUGCUAUCCUGCUCUCCAUUAGCAAAAGUUACCAGCAGGAUCUUUAGUGUGAGGUGCUAGGAGUGUCCCACACAGUGCUAAGGGGAAUAGAAUUUAAAAGCAGAGUUGCAUUAUUUCCUUCAUUUGGCUUUAGCUUGUCCUUCCCAGAGUAAAGGAAUCAGCAAGGCAAAAAAGAGCCUCUCACUUUACAUUUAUACCUACUUUGGCCAGGAUGGAUUUAAAUUUCUCAAAUACAGCUGGUUUUUUUUUUUCUACCAUGCAAAGUAUUAGUCUGGACCUCACAGGGUCUUUGUCUUGCCGUGGCAAUAUGCAGAGCUCCCUUGGCAAUGGAUGUGACAGUUGUGUGUCCUGUGCAGGAACUGCAGUGGGGAAGGCUGUGUUUACAGGACACCCUGCAUGGAAUCCAGCCCUGCUCCAGUUUUGCAUGCUUUGCCUUGCAGUGUUUCUGCUUGUCUCUCUGCCCUUCAGAAAAUCUCAGUCUCUUUUGUUCUAGUUCUGGCUUAAGCUCAUGAAACCACAAAUUUUGCUUCCAGCCGUGUUGCCUUGCUUUGGCUCCAGUGAUCAUUUUGACCCUUGUGAUAAGCUGAUACAUUAACUAAGAUGGUGAAAAACUGUUCUAGCAAAGAAAGAACUCUCUCACUCACCUGUCAUGUCAACAGCCAUGAGCAGGUACAAUAUUGGCUCUGUCAGGUUGAUACUGGGUCUCUGUCUCUGACUGUAGUGGGGCCUAAAUAUUCUUGUAGUGUUUUUCUGGGAUAGGUCCAGUACCUGUGAUCCUAACUGGGAUGCUGGGCUGCAUAAUAAUUUGUUUUAAAUUGAUGUUCUUCUCUUAAUUACUGUCUCCAUAUUAAAUUUUCUCUAACUACAAAUUUCAGCAAUGCCCAGUGUUGUCCAAGAAAGCUGAGCCAUGUCUGUGGUCCAAAAGCAGAUUCACAGUAAUUUAUACCAAAGAGUCAAUGUUCCCAAAGUUCUGUUGUGAAUUUACUUGAAGCAUACAUAAAAGCAUAGUUUAAACUUCCAUGUUAGCAUCAAAAGCCCAGAUUGAAAUAGCAUUCAUGAAAUUGUCAUUUAACACUUUGAAUUUGCAAUUAUUUAGUUUGUCAAGUCUGUGCUUACAAAUAGCUAGCUAGCACACCAGCAAACUACAUGUUAUGAUUUUUCUGGUGUGUGUGGAUACAUCUACACCUAAUUUUCUACUUGUUCAAAGUUUUUAUUGGAGAUACUUCUGAAUAGUUUAAACCUGUGAGUUCUAUAGUUGUAUGUAAGAAGAUUAACAUUGUGCUCAAAGUGUUAUUAGAAGGAAGUGUGACUUCAAAAAUAAUCCAGCAUUUUUUAUGUGACUGGAUUUUAACAGAAGCCUUGUAUAAAAGCAGUGUGAAAUAAUUUGCAAAUGCCUUCAGUUUAUCUAACAUGAAAAGAAGCUUAUCCUAAACGAUUGAGAUCAGCUCUCAGGUUUAACUAACAGUCAUAAAAUUAAGGCUUCCUAGAAAUUGGUUGUAAAACAACUCUUUUAUUCCUUAGAUUGAUUUAGUUUCUGUAUUAAUUGUUAGGUUGAUGAUCUUUGUCACUUUAUUUUAAAGGAUGUACAUAAUUGGAUGGGAAAUAUAAGGUAUUUUAUUUUAAAAAGUACUUUGGAGCUAUAGUGAUUGGCAUGAAUUAUUAUUUCAUGAACUGUUAUUUGUGUAAUGGAUUCAUCUUGAGUCAAAAUCCCAUUCUGUUAUUUUACAUGAACUAUUUAUAAUAUCUUAUGUAUGUAUUUGGUAAUGAAAGAGUAAAAAGACAAAGUAUAAUAAUCAUUAUAUGGGGGGAGCUGGGGCUGUUCAACCUCUUGCGGGGCAUAAGGAUCCCUCUGAUUGCUUCACAAGGGGAACUCUUGUGGUCACAGUGGGCAAACAGGACUGUUGGUGAGGGAGAGGAAUCCAGGGCUGCUUAACAGCCUUCAGUUCUAGAUUCCUUUGUGGAGGAAUAGUGCCUGCACUUGUGUGACAUGAGGGGAGAGGGCUACACAGAAAAUCUGGAAACCAGCCUGUCUGUUUUGGGCACCCAAAGUCGAUACUGGUGGCCAGCAGCAUUUUCAGGAGAAUCCCAGGAAGAGUGAAGUGUUGCCUUGCAUGGCCCAGUGUUACCAAUGGAGUUUUGCUUUCUUAGAUUAACUAGCAAAUUGGAAAAUUAAUCAUGUACUUGUUGAGAGUAGAAACAGCAAUAAAUUGGAUUUCUUUUAAUACCUGUUUUUUUGUGCAGGACAGUGUUUAUUAAGCAAGUAAGAUAAGAACAUGCUCAGAAAUGCUUAGGGAUAUCUGGGCUUUGGUGUGGCUGGGUGUGAUUGCCAAUGACUUUCACACCCCUGGAUAUGAGUUAUAUUUGAUGUGCUGUGGGGCUGGUACUAGAGUGACAGAAUUAGUACUGCAUUGCUUGUGCCUUAAAAAAAUAAAAGGAAAAAAAGAGAACAAAAAGCAGUGAAAGGAUAGAUUUUGCAAGUGUGUUUUGAUCCAUGUUGUGCAUCAGUGGGUGUGAAGUCCAGCAUCUUGAGCAAACAGAGUAUGUUGAGGAAUCACAGGUGCAGGUAGUGCUCUUGAUAUUAAAUGUCAAGCAGGGUCAUGUGGCUUGGGAUGUUGUAAGGAUGUUUAUAUGUGACCAG
Molecule: RNA transcript, 4561 nt
Organism: Passer domesticus (house sparrow)
Lineage: Eukaryota; Metazoa; Chordata; Aves; Passeriformes; Passeridae
Gene: HESX1
Gene name: HESX homeobox 1
Exons: 6
Source: RefSeq, a predicted model, not a curated record